Molecule: unclassified non-coding RNA, 1088 nt
Filed under: Melitaea cinxia (Glanville fritillary)
Lineage: Eukaryota; Metazoa; Arthropoda; Insecta; Lepidoptera; Nymphalidae
Description: misc RNA ENSMCXG00005013948.1
Source: RNAcentral
UGUUUACUAUCAAUCAAAGAGUAAAAUAACUUGCAUACAGCUAUCAAUCCAAAAUUUUAGUGUAUUUAAAGACCUUCAAAUAUUCGGUUGAUCUUUAACAAAAAAUUCAUUGGCAUUAGACAAAUUUUUCAAGAGCAUAUCUUCAUGUCUGUCCCAUAAUGAUGAAGUUGUUUCCUUUUCUCUGCGUGGAGAAGUGCCUACGAAAAUUAAAUUUCGUUUUAGGAUAAUUACUACUAAUAUUAUAAAUGUGAAUGUAUUUGUCUGUUACGCCUUCACGCAAAAACUACUUAUCAUCAUGAAAAUUUGUACAUAUAUUCUUGGAGGUCUAAGAGAUGUUCCAUUCCAUGUUUUCCCAGAUCCAGCCAAAUGUCUUGAGCGGUUUAAGGCUUGGGUCAUAUUUUUGGUGGAAAAUUGAAAACACCUCAUGAUUAUGAAGAUUGUAGAAAGAGGAAACUUUGUGACAUUCAUUUUACAAAUAAAGACCACAAUCGUAAUCAUCGGUUAAAUACAUUAGCAGUUCCAUCUGUACAUUUACCUAGUAGGAUUCCUGCUAUUACACAGCAAGAAACAAAUAUAAGCUCUGUUUCUGAAAGUUUAUCUACUGGGCCUUCAACUUCUUUCACAGGUAAUUUAUAUAAAAAAAAAAAAAUAUGUAUACUUUUUAUAUAAAGAAUAUGCUGAUUCUAAGUCCUUUAAAACAUGUACCAUUAUUUACUAUUACAAACUUGAAAUUAGGCACAGAGGUAGUUUAUAGUUAGUAGACGUACCUUAUGAAAGGAUUAUGUGACAGGACUGGUUUAAGGUGGUCUUAGGGCUUACGUGAGUCUGUAUGAAACUUACUUAAGGUGAACCAUAAAUGUGGUACAAACGGGUCAUAAAUUAUUGUAAUGAAGCUGUGGGCAACUACUAGUACCUGUAGAAAAUAUAUUUUUAAGUACCUAUGUUUUAAUAACUAUUCUGAAGGGAGUAAUAUUUUUAACAUUAAAUAAUGUCAUUAUUGAUAACAAUAUUCUUUCAUUUCAGUCAAUGCAACCUGUUAUGAGGCUGAAGCUGCCAUGCUGGAGCAUGAUUACUGUAUCACAUAUGAU